This 265-nucleotide ribosomal RNA is filed under the name uncultured archaeon. RNAcentral's name for it is "partial 16S ribosomal RNA". It matches the Rfam family "Archaeal small subunit ribosomal RNA", at positions 718 to 982 of the family's 1478-position model. The record is from RNAcentral.
AGUCACUGACAUUAGACUACCCCCGUAGUCCCAGCCGUAAACUAUGCGCGUUAGGUGUAUCGGUGACCACGAGUUACCGAGGUGCCGAAGGGAAACCGUGAAACGUGCCGCCUGGGAAGUACGGUCGCAAGGCUGAAACUUAAAGGAAUUGGCGGGGAGCACCACAACGGGUGGAGCCUGCGGUUUAAUUGGACUCAACGCCGGGAAGCUCACCGGAUAAGACAGCGGAAUGAUUGCCGGGCUGAAGACUCUGCAUGACUAGCUG